UGACGAACGGUCCAAACGUUUAUUCGGAAGUCAACUGGGCUUAAAGCGUCCGUAGGCGGCUCGGAAAGUAGGGUGAUGAAAUCCCGACGGCUCAACCGUGGAAUUGCGCUCUAAACUAUCGAGCUAGAGGGAGAUAGAGGUGGAGCGGAACUGAUGGUGGAGCGGUGAAAAUGCGUUGAUAUCAUCAGGAACACCGGAGGCGAAGGCGGCGUCACUGGGUCUUUUCUGACGCUGAGGGACGAAAGCUAGGGGAGCGAACGGG
This 262-nucleotide ribosomal RNA is filed under the name uncultured bacterium. Its description in RNAcentral is "partial 16S ribosomal RNA". It matches the Rfam family "Bacterial small subunit ribosomal RNA", at positions 523 to 776 of the family's 1533-position model. The record is from RNAcentral.